Molecule: ribosomal RNA, 162 nt
Filed under: uncultured bacterium
Lineage: Bacteria
Description: partial 16S ribosomal RNA
Rfam family: Bacterial small subunit ribosomal RNA
Source: RNAcentral
UAGGAUCUUCCACAAUGGACGAAAGUCUGAUGGAGCAACGCCGCGUGAGUGAAGAAGGGUUUCGGCUCGUAAAACUCUGUUGUUAAAGAAGAACAUAUCUGAGAGUAACUGUUCAGGUAUUGACGGUAUUUAACCAGAAAGCCACGGCUAACUACGUGCCAG